Long non-coding RNA from Cavia porcellus (domestic guinea pig), 6367 nucleotides. RefSeq lists it as uncharacterized. The record is from RefSeq and is a predicted model, not a curated record. The transcript has 2 exons. Lineage: Eukaryota; Metazoa; Chordata; Mammalia; Rodentia; Caviidae.
GACCCCUACCUGGCCUCACCAGGGCGGAGACCAGCGCAGCGACCACUGAGGAGGAAGGAAUUUGACAAGCAGCCGCCAAACCGGAAGAGACGGCGCCGAUGUGACGUCACUUCCGCUCGCUCUCUCCAGUUGAGGGUCUGGGCUCCGCAGCUUGGGUCUGAGACCCGUUGGCCUAGAGGGUGUGUGCUACUGCGCUGUGUCUUUGUCUCCCACCUUCCACCCCCUGCAUUUUUUUCUUUUUCUUUUUGAGACAGGGUCCUUGCUAAGUUGCCUGUGGUUGGCUGGAACUGGAAUUCUUGGCCCAGCCUCCCUAUGAGCUGGGAUUUCAAGCCUGCACCACCACCAGUCUGACUCCAUUCUCCAUUCUUAAAUAACAUGACGCUAGACAUUGUGCACUUAUGCUGGAAUGAUUUUGACAUUUCUCUGGUAAGCCCUUUCGCUGUAGUUUUUAGUGGCUGAUCGUCAUGCACUUAUUAAAGUUAUUUUAAACAUUGAUUUAUGAAUUUUUAUCAAGAAUUAUGUGCAUUAUCAAAUGUAUGAUAUGUAUCCUUAUUUUUGUUCAUUUUUCAUUGUUAGCUAUACAGAAUGCUUAAAUUGUUGUCCAAAGGAGUUUGUAUUUUUCAAUAAUUUCUGGAUUUCCUGCCUCACAUUAAAAAGUCUCUAUCCCUGUAGCUGGGCCUACAGGCCAAAUAUAAACAUUUAUAUUGUCCAGCAUCACAGAAUGUUUUGCCAAAUGAUUUGUGAUAGUGAGUCUUAAUUUUUCUCUUUAGAAAGAUGGACACUUACUGUAAUACCACUUGGUAUUGAAAAAAAACUGUCAACUGUGGGAGAUCACCAAGCCACAUUUCCCUGAGAAAUAAGGCCCCUUGCCUCCAUCUUUUCCUGACCUUUACUUCAACCCUAUUCAGUGACAUAUGCAGAGCUGGCUAUACUGAACCAGAUGUUCCCUUAAUUGGCUAAAAGAAUGCAAUUGAAUAUAGGUGAAAAUUGCCAUGCCACCCCACCCCUACCCCCCAUUUCUGGAAUAGAGGGUCAAGAAAGAGCCUGUGAGAUUCCAGGCUAAUAUCUCCUAUUGGGUCCUGUUUUAACAAUGAAGGACCCAAUAGGAGAUAUUCAGCCUUAAUAUGUCAAAGGCAAAGUCUCAGAAUGCACAUUUUAAAAAAUUUAAUAGCCAUUUACUUUUGGGGUUUUUGUUUUUGUUUUUUGGAUUUUUUGGUACCAAGGAUCAAACUCAUGACCUCGUCUUACGAGGUAAGAGCUUGAGCUGCUGAGCUAAAUCCCCAGGUGUUAGGCAUCUGCUUCUGGGAUUAUGUGUAUUUUUGUGUGUUGCUGGCUCAACCGCAAGGUCUCAUGGAUGCUUAGCAAGCAUAUACCACUGAGCUACAUCCCCAGCCCUGAAUGUGCAUUUCUAAUAGAGGGCUAGUGAUAACUAUUGACUCUAGAACAUUCUGGAAACUACUAGAUUAAAAUGACUUUGGGGCUAUUGGCAAGGGAAUGAAAACAUUUUGCAGUGUGAGAUGUGCAUGUACCUUGGGUUCCAAUGCUAUGGUCUGCAUGUUUUGUCCCUGAAAGGUUCAUGUGCUGGAGGCUUAGUCCUACUUUAAGCAAUGGAACUGGGGCUUAGUUCAAAGUAAUUAGAUCAUUGUGGUGCAGCCCUCAGAAGAGACAAGGGACUAAUGAUUGGCUCUUAGAGUUAGUUUCAUCCACCAGUCAUGGUGGCACACACCUACAAUCUCAACAUGUGGGAGGCUCAGGCAGAGGGAUCACCACAAAUUGAAGGCCAACUUGAGCUGCAUAUUGAGUUCAAAACUAGUCUGAAUUGCAUGGAGAGACCCUGUCUCAAUUUAAAAAAUGUUUCAUGUGAGCAAAGGCACUUCACGAGUUUUAUCCCUUCUGCAUAGAGCUAUGUCCCUCUUUCUCUGUCACAUCAAGACCCAGUCAAGGGGAUUUAAGAGGCCAGACAGGGCCAUAUGAUCUUGGAUUUUUACCUUCUAAAACUUAGGCUAAAUAAACCUCUUUAUAGGAAUGGUGAAUGGUGGUUUAUGUCUAUAAUCCCAGCACUAGGAGAGGUUGAGCAGGGUAAGUUACAAGCAUAAACCCAGCCUGCACAAUUUAAAAAGACCUUGAUUCAAAGUAAAAAAUGUAAAAUGCACUGGGAAUGUAGCUCACUUUGAAGGCCUGGGGUUUAAACAACCAGUAUCACCAAAACAAACAAACCAAAAAAACUUUCAGUUAUUUGUAAGAUAUCAAGAUGUCCAACCUCAGGCACUUUAUGUGGCUGUAAAAAAUGGACAAGGAUACUGUUCCAUUUUAGAUCUGAAAUGUCUCCUAAAAGUGUCCUCUGUUUAGAGGUAGGGCUUCUGGGAGGUGAUUAGAUCACAUUUAUACUCAACAAUGAAUAAAUCCAUUUGCAUUUAUUGCGGAAUAUGCCGUUAGGAGGUAAGGCCUGGUUGGAGCUGGAUCACUGGGACAUGACCUGGGUGUGUACUUAUCCCCAUCCUCUUCCUCUCUUGCUCUUUUCUUAUUUGCUUAUGGCUACUAUAAAGUAAUGAAGUGGACAGAUUUCCUCCAUCACACCCUUCCACCUAAAUAUUUUUUCAACUUGGAGUUAGAUGACCAGGGACUAAAACCUCUGAAACCAUGAGCCUAAGUAACCCGGUUCUUCUCCCUUAAGUAAUGGGUGUCAGGUAUUUUGUUCCAUUGGUGGGAAAACUGACCAAUGUAGACACUUUGUCAAAACAGAUGAGAAAACAACUCAACCAAUGUCUUGAUUGCAGCUGCACAGAAUCGCAAACAAAGAACAUUCUUGAGCCAUGACUGGACUGUUUACCCAAAGAAAGUGGAGGAUACAUGUGUGUGGCUUUAACCCACCAACCUUGUCAUAAGUUAUGAGGCAGCAAUAGAUAAUAAGCAAAUAUGUAUUAUCUGCUGAGGUCUGAGUGCCCCAGUCUGAGUGGGGCAGGCUUUCUUUUUUGUCUGGCUUUGUCACUCAAAAUUAUAUUUGUAAAGUUCAACCACAUUGUUGCACAUAUUUUUUUUUUGUCUUUUUGUUUUCUUUUGUGGUACUAGUAAUUGAACCUUCAACCUCAUACAUGCUAGGCAAGCAAUCUACCACUGAGCUAUACAUUCCCAGACCUUUUAAACUUUGUUUUAAGACAGGUCAUACUACGGAGUCUAGAAAUCAAAAUCCUCCUGCCUUAUCCUCCUCCCAAGCAGCUGUAAUUAUAGGCACGGACCACGAUACCUGACUACAAGGAGUAUCACUCACAUCCUUUCACUUUCAGCUGCACCCUUAAAGAUGAAGCAAGUAUCCUGUAUGCCACAUAUAUGUAGAUAUUCUUGUUUCUUAUGCAAUCUGUUGCUCUCUUUUGAUAGAUAACUUUAGUGUAUUCCAAGUAAAAGUAAUUAAAACCUUGAUCAUGUGGAAUUAAUCCAUGGGAUGUAAGGAUGUUUCAACACAUGUAUCAAUGAAUGUGAUGCAACAUAUUUACAAAAUGGAGGGAAAUCAUAUGGCAAAAACUGCAAACAUUCAGCAAUAUUCAGCAGUCUGAUGUUAUUCUAAUAAUGACUUCCAAUAAAUAAAUGAUAUAAAAGGUACCUCAACAUAAUAAAGACCUUACAUGACAAGUCCACACUUUCAUCCCAAAUACAAAGAAGCUCAAAAGAUUUCAUGUGAGAGCAAGAACAAGUAAAAAAUUCCACACUUCCCAUUUCUAUUCAACAUACUUACACAAGUCCUACCCAGAGCAAUUAUACAGGAAAAAGAGACAAAAACUUCCAGAUCAGAAAAGAAGUUACAGUGAUAGUUUGUAGAUGGACUGAUCUUUAAUACAAAACACCAGACUACAAAAAAAGUCUCACUAGAACAAAAACAAAGUCAUACAUCUUGUAGUGCUUGUCAACACACAAAAAUUAGUAGUUCUAUACACUAUGAAUAAACAUCUAAAAAUUUAAGAAAAUAAUUAUAUUUUCAAUAAAUACCAUCAAAAUAAUAAAAUACAUAGGAGCAAAUUUAAUUAGCAGGUUGAAAGGCCCAUAUGCUGGAAACCAUAAAACACUGGUGUAUGAAAAAAGACAUGUGAAGAGACAGCCCAUGUUUGUGGACUAAAAGAACUCUGCUACAAUGUGCACAGUACCCAGAGGAAUCUGUAAUAUUUUUUUUGUGUUUUUCAUUUUUAUCUGUACCAGGGAUCGAACUCACGACCGCACACUUGCAAGGAAGGUGCUUAUGCCGCUGAGCUAAAUCCCCAGCCCCGGAAUCUGUAAUAUUUAAUGUCAGUGCUUUCAAGAUUCCAGUGGCAGGUAGCAUACAUGUAAUCCCAAUAAUCUGGGAAGCUGAGGAGGGAGGAUUGUAUGAGUCCACCCCUAGCAACCUCCUGAGACUCUGUCUCAAAAUUUUAAAAUAAAUAAUUUAAAAAGGCUGGGAUAAUAAAUUAGAAAAAAAUAAAAAGGUUGGGACGUAGCUUAGUGUAAAGGUCCUGGGUUCAAAUCCCAGUAUAAAGAAAAAAACAGAUUCCAGUAGAUUUUUUCCCCUCAGGAUGGUGGAGGUCACGGAGAGAACCCUAAAAUUUAUAUUGCAUCCUCAAAAACUCUGAAAAGUCAAAGGAAUCUUAAGAACAAAACUGGAGACAGAACAUUUCCAUAUUUCAAAUUAUAUUACAUGGUUACAAUAACUGAAAGAGUAUUAUAUAGGCAUCAAAACGGAAUAGCUAGAGAUUUAGUUCAGUGGUACAGACCUGGCUGGCAAGCAUGAGAACCUCAGUUUGAUUCCAAGGACAAAAAAAAAAAACCCACCAGAGAACAAUGAGAAGAAUGGCUCAUAACUGAUGAAUGUAGUCAUAUAAUUCUCAACAAAAGCAACAAUAAUACACAAUAGGGAAAAUCAUACAAAUGAUAGUGCAAAAUCUGGUAGACACAUUCAAGAGAAUUCAACUGGACCACUGCACACACAAAGAUGCACAGUAAAUAAUUAAAGAUUUAAACCUCAGGCUGUGAAACCAAGAAACUCCUAAGCGAAAAAAGAAUAAAAACUACCUGACACUUAUCUUGGCAAUGAUUUCUGGGAGUUCACAUCCAAACUAUAUCCAACGAAAGCAAAAAUAAGUGACAUAUAAGUACCCUUAUUUGAAGCAACGCACAUAACAAUAGCUAAGUGUCUUGGAAAUGGCCUAUAUACCAUCAACAGAUGAUUGGAUAAAGAAAAUGUGGUAUUCAUACACCAUGGAGUACUAUUCUGCCAUAAACAAGGAUAAAUGUGAAUCAUUCAUAGGUAAAUGGAUGUGUCUUGAGCUAAAUCAAUUUAAAUCAGAAAUAUAAGCUUAAAUAUUCUAUAGUUUCUCUGAGAAACCCAAAUUAUAAAUUAACAGCAAAAUAAAGGGUAAGAAAAAGUAGGGGGAUCUUCAGAUGUGAAGGGCAACAAAAGAUGGAGGGGAUGGAAAAGAGAUGGAAAAAAAGAAAAUGGAAAUAGAGCUUUUGAAAAUGGAAAUGGGGCCAAGACUUGGAAGGAGCACUGAGAGAUGGGAGGAGUUGAGGAUAAAAAAAGAAUCAAGGUGUGUUAUGUACCUGUACCAACUCCUCACAAUAAAUUUAAAAUGUUUUAGCAAAGCAAACAAAUGAAAAGAUAAAGAAUGGAAUUGGUGAAAUGUGUACCAUAUAAAUGAUAAUGGGUUAAUAUCCAUGGGCUAACUUUUUGCUAGCUGUGUCACUGAAUAGCAAAAGAAUUCUUUUUAAAUCUAAAAACAGACAAAAGAUCAGAACAGGUAUUUCUCCAAAAGACAGGCUAAUGGCUAAAAGGUGUUGUACUCUAAGAAAAUAGCUUCGUUAUAUGUGUAUUAUAGCAAACCUGCAAUGUGGUUUACUAAAUGUGUUUUUUAUCCUUUUUCCCUGAUAUGUUGUGACCUAAUUGAUAUGUUGAGCAAUACUCUCCUCUGUAAAGAAUUGCAAGAAUCUCACCUAAUUGAUAUGUUAACCAGAGCGGCCCUCUACAAACAAGAAGAGUGGUGCUAAAACAAGCUAACAAGGAUUGUUAAUCACGGUUAGGCGCCUCUAUUCUCCGCUAAAGAGCUAAAGAAAACUAGGAUGGCCCACUAAUUUACACUUGUUUGAAAUGUGCCACUCCGAGAUAAUGUCAGUCUGCAGGAUGGGAGUAAUUUGAGAAACACCAGGAACUCCUGAGAUUGUCAGAGCUAAGUGGACAGCAAUACAGUUUCCAGAUGCAGGUCAACAGGUUUAAUGGCCUUGCAGGUUUACCCCCACUUUCCCUUACUUUUAAAAACCCCUUUCCCCAGUCUUGGGCGUGCAGUCUUUGGGUCGAUCCAGGAGAGACUGUGCUGCCAGGACUGGCUUAAUAAAGCCUUUGCUACUUAAA